AUUGAACGCUGGCGGCAGGCCUAACACAUGCAAGUCGAACGGUAGCACAGAGAGCUUGCUCUCGGGUGACGAGUGGCGGACGGGUGAGUAAUGUCUGGGAAACUGCCUGAUGGAGGGGGAUAACUACUGGAAACGGUAGCUAAUACCGCAUAACGUCACAAGACCAAAGAGGGGGACCUUCGGGCCUCUUACCAUCAGAUGUGCCCAGAUGGGAUUAGCUAGUAGGUGGGGUAACGGCUCACCUAGGCGACGAUCCCUAGCUGGUCUGAGAGGAUGACCAGCCACACUGGAACUGAGACACGGUCCAGACUCCUACGGGAGGCAGCAGUGGGGAAUAUUGCACAAUGGGCGCAAGCCUGAUGCAGCCAUGCCGCGUGUAUGAAGAAGGCCUUCGGGUUGUAAAGUACUUUCAGCGGGGAGGAAGGCGAUAAGGUUAAUAACCUUGUCGAUUGACGUUACCCGCAGAAGAAGCACCGGCUAACUCCGUGCCAGCAGCCGCCGUAA
This 504-nucleotide ribosomal RNA is filed under the name uncultured bacterium. RNAcentral describes it as "partial 16S ribosomal RNA". It matches the Rfam family "Bacterial small subunit ribosomal RNA", at positions 30 to 523 of the family's 1533-position model. The record is from RNAcentral.